CUUACCUGCAACACCAAGGUCGUCAUUGACUUGAUCAGAAUAUUAACAACCUGGACUGAGUUACAGGGUGACGACCUCCAUCAGCUGAUCUAAGAUGGUGCCCAGGCUCACAGGGAGGAGACAAACAGGAAGAGUAACAUCUGUUCUGUCCGACCUCAGAGAACAAGGGGCCAACGAAGGACAGUCAAUCACUCUGUGAGCGACUAGCGAUGCCUCGCCGCUCUACUGAACCACCCAGGAUGCAUUGCUUCUUUCAGCUGUUCAUCUUUUGUGUGUGAAUUUGUUUUGUAUCACGAAAUAUGAAAUGUGUGUAUUGUUUGGUGUUUCCCCAAAUGGAUCAAUAAAGUUUUCUGAUUUAA
This is a long non-coding RNA of Scophthalmus maximus (turbot), 359 nucleotides long. RefSeq lists it as uncharacterized. The record is from RefSeq and is a predicted model, not a curated record. Lineage: Eukaryota; Metazoa; Chordata; Actinopteri; Pleuronectiformes; Scophthalmidae. The transcript has 2 exons.